CAUGGAUUCUGAGUUUUGAGUCAUAGGUAGAAAGCCCUUCUCCACUCUAAGGUUACAAAGGUAAUUUUUUUUUCUUUUUUUAUGGCUUCACUGGUUACAUUUAAACUUUGAUUCAUUUGAAAUUUAUCCUUGUGUUCACUCCACAUUUCUACAUUUAUAUAUAUUUAAAUAUAUAAUAUGUAUAAUAUAUAGUGAGAAAUAAAGAAUGAAAGUGGGGGCAAGAGGCAGAGGGAGAGGGCAGCCCUGGUGGUGCAGUGGUUUAGCGCCGCCUGCAGUCCAGGGCGUGAUCCUGGAGACCCUGGAUCGAGUCCCACGUCAGAGACCCUGGAUCGAGUCCCACGUCAGGCUCUCUGUAUGAAGCCUGCUUCUCUCUCUGCCUCUCUCUCUCUCUCUCUUUGUGUUUAUGAAUAAAUAAAUAAAAUCUUUAAAAAAAAUUUAAAAAUUUAAAAAAAAAAUUAAAAAAUAAAAGAGACAGAGGGAGACAGUCUUAAGCAGGCUCCAUGCCCAGUGCAGAGCCUGACGUGGGGCUCAAUCUCACAACCCUGAGAUUGUGACCUUAGCCAAAAUCAAGAAUUGAACACUUAACUGACUGAGCGACCCAGGAGCCCCCACAUUUAUAUUCUUAACUAACACAUAACAUAAUCUUUCUCUAUUUGGGAAAGUUGUUGUAUUGGUCAGGAUAGGCAAAGUUAUGCCUAAUUACAACCCAAUUACAAACAAAUCCUAAUCUUAGUGGCUUUAAGAAGAAAAAUUUAUUUCAUGCUACAUUGUCCAUCAGGUUUUGCCAUAAGCUCUGCUCAGGGACAUCAACUUUACUCAGGGACCUAGACUGAUGAACCAGUCUCCAUCUAGAACAUUCCCAGUAUCACACAGAAGAGAGAUCAUGACCAAACACAGACUGCCUCUUCCAGCAUCUUCUCAGAAAUAACACAUCCUUUCUACUCUAGUGUCAUUUGCAAAAGCAAGUCUCACAACCAAUCUUGAUGCCAAUGGGAUUGUCCCUUGAGGAGUGACAGCAAAUAUUUGGGAACAACAAUUCAGCCUUUCAUAACUGUCCUUUCUGCUAAUGUGCAGAUUUGGAAAGAAACACACAUGGAGUCUGCAGCCAGCUGGGGACCCCAUCUCACCAGCUGGCUCAGGAACAUCACUGCUAGCCUGUCAUUGUACCUGAUGUCCCCAGGUCUUAUACUCUGCUCAGAUCAGAGGGCACAAGGACAGAAAGGGAGGAACAGUGGGCCUCACCCAGGGGACUGUUGUGAGUUGAAUUAUGCCUUCCUAAAAAGAUAUAUUGGAGUACCUACCCUCAUUCCUGGUGCCUCAGAAUGUUAUCCUAUUUGGAGAUGGGGUCUUUAUAGAGAGACUCAGGUUAAGAUGAGAUCAUUAGGAUGAGUAGUGAUCCAAUAUGACUGAUAUCUUUACAAAAAGGGGAAAUUAGGACACACACAUGUACUGGGGGAAGAUAGUGUGAAUAUGCAGGGGAAAGAUAGCCAUCCACAAGCCAAGGAAGGAGGUCUGGAAAAGAUUCUACAUUCAGAGCCCACAAAAGGAACCGGCCCUGACAACACCUUAGUGUUAGCCUUCCAGCCUCCAAGACCAUGAGAUGAUAAGUGUCUGCCGUGCAAACUACCCAAUUCUGGGUUACGGCAGCCUAGGCGAAUGAAUACAGGGAACACCUCCAGUUGCUUGGUAGGGGCUUCCUGGAUGCUCUUUUAAAAGUGUUUCUGGUGCCACACUGGAUGAGCAGGAAAGACAUCCAUGACCAACGAUCGAUGCUAUUUAUGAAAGUGAGCUUGGGAGCAGUAUUGGAUUUGGAAUCAACUGGCCAGGAAAUGCACCUGGGUUCUAGGAUGUUGUGACUUUUCCAGGAAAACAGGGGCUUUGCUGAAAGAUGAGGGAGGGAGCAUGGAGAGCCAGCAUAGCAUCCACGGGGAUAUUGGUCCCUAGCCUUGCUCAGCAAUAAAGCAAUCAGCCCUUUACUAAUAAGAUAGCACUAGCAACUUGCAAGAGAAAGUCAAAGUCUCAAACAAGAUGAGAGCUCCUUAAUAUUUCACCAGAUG
Molecule: long non-coding RNA, 2057 nt
Filed under: Canis lupus familiaris (dog)
Lineage: Eukaryota; Metazoa; Chordata; Mammalia; Carnivora; Canidae
Description: lncRNA (ENSCAFG00000053166.1)
Source: RNAcentral